UCACUCACCUGAUAUUUUUGGUUCUUAUGAAGGUGCUUUUUGCAUGGAUAAUUGUUUGAUUUUAUGUUCCUGCAGAGGAUGAGGGAGGGAAUUUCUGAAGGGUUCUAGUUGGCCAUCUUGCUCCACCUCCUUCAGUAGGAGUCUUACCUUUGUAGCUUGGUCUUCCCAAUAAUUUUCUAUGGACUUUUAAUAAUUAUGUCAAAAAUUAAUUUACCAAAAUAAUUUUAAAGGAAUAACAUGACAAUUUUAAGUGAUAAUGCAUAUUCAACCUAAACUAAGCCAAACUAAAAAUUGGGAAAAAGUUAUUAAAAAAUUGCAUCUAGCAAUUUUCACAUGAUUUUAAUGAAAGCAAUAAGUUAUUUGAAAUAGAAAUCAUUACCAUUAAUAUUCCAUAUAGAUUAUUUAAACAACUUUUCUACAUAUGUUGAGAGGGAAAUAAAAAUUGAGACAAAAUUUUGUAGAUGAGAAAGAAAAAGACAACAUAAUUUCUAAGUAAUAUGCUUGGAUAAAUGCUAUUUUAAAAUAGCAGCUAGUAAUUUUAAUUUGACAUGAAUAUAAUGAAAAAUGCAACUAAGGUGAAUGAAAAAAUUGUAGGACUUCAUAUUGUCUUCAUCAUAUCAGGUAAUAGGUAUCAAAAUGUCCCUCUAGAUUAAAAAAAAAAUUAAACUAUCAGUAACUUGUAUUCAGCAUAGAUUUAUUUAAAUUACAUAUUUUAAUUUCCGUAAUCAUCAUUAAUUAACUCCUCUGAAAGAUGAUAUAAUUAAGAACCUCUAUUUCUCUUUUCUUCUGAGUUUGUUGCUUUUAUAAUAUUUAAUUUGUGAUGGUUUAUUAUAUAUCUGUUCUACUCUGCAAUAAUAAUUACUUCAGUUGUAUUAUCUUAGGUCAUACUUAAAUGAAGUAAGUGUUCAGCCACCUGUUAUAUAACCAUGGUUUCCUAAUUUCUCUAUUCUUUAUUAUAAUUUAUCUCUUCAUUGGUUGCAUUUAAUCUUCAAGUAGGGUUUAAGUUUCAUUGUUAUAAAAUUUCAUUAAACCUGUUAUUUAAUGUAUAGAAAUGCCUUUCUGUUGUAUUUACAACUGAAGAGCAAUUUGCUAUAUAUAAAAUGGAGACUUUGUUACAUUGUUUAUUCUGAGGCCAAUCAGAUUUCCCACUUGUUAUGUAACUUGCUUAUCUUGAUUUUUCCAGACUCAUCAAUUUCUGAAUGCUUUUAUUUUUGAAAUUUAAUAACUAAAUGUUUUAUAGUAUUAGCUUUUUAUUAACUUUUCUUGGCAUGUGCCCUAUUAACUGAAAUAUUUAGUCAUUCAUUUACUUUAGGUAAGUUUCCCUCUUUUAUAUCUCUCAUUAUUUUCUGUUCUAUUUGUUGGUGUCUUUACUUCAGCAGUAUCAAUAGCCUUAUGGUGGAUGCACUAUAGUUUAUAUACCUAUCGUCUAAUUAUUUAAACCUGUUGUCUAUUUUUAUUCACUAUAACUAAAUAAAUCAUUAUCUCCAUGAUGACUUCUGUUUCCUGCUGCUUCUAAUUUAUUUUAUCUAUACUGUUUGUUUUGUAUCAGUUUUUUCUUUUUCUCAUAAUUCUGAUCUUUUAUUACAUUAUUGUGUUUUCCUUGUUUUACUAAAUCUAUGUCCUUAUUGGAUUAUUCAAUAAAUGCAAAACACCAGCAAAGGAAUUUUAGUUCCUUGGAUUGUAUAUUCUUUCAAAUUGGAUUAUGUUUUAAAAUCAAUGCCUUUCUCCAUUUAUAUAUUAAUAUGUUUUUAUUUGGGGGCUGUAAUAUAUUUUCAUCACUCUCAAUUUUUUUCCUCUUGUACCUUUGUUAAUAUAUUUACUAGGAAAUGGUGUAUGUGGUUUCUCCUUGACAUCACUCUUACCUUAUCUGGGAUUAUUUAUCUUCCCCCUGUGUACUAGAAGGUACAGAGAACAGACAGAAGAGAGUGGGAAGCACAGCUGGGACUGAUUGCAGUCUUUGAGGAGGUCCUGGGUUUACUCUUCUUGCUGAGAUCCUACCAGAUGUUCUUCAUUGGACUCCAUUACACCAAGCUUGGCGUGAAUUCAAGUCUUUUGGGCUUUGGCUCACUUCCCUAAUUUAGCACUGUAUGCUGGAGCGAGAGAAUCUAUGGCCCUUCCUGCUUCUGCCAAGGUCCAGAUGUGAUUUGUAGAGCAUCCACUAAGUGUUUUUAUCUUGAUUUUCCCAGACCCAUCAAUUCAUCCCUUCAUCCCACUCCUUUCAAGUUACAGAGCAUUCAGAUUCAGGAUUUGUGUCACUUCUUAUAUCCUCAGUGCCUCUUCUGGAGGUAGAAUAAGAGUUGGGAAUUCUGUUGACCUGGCCAUGACACCACAAUUUUCUGUUACUUCACUGGUCAUCAUUUUUGAGUUUAUAAUCCUUCCCCAUUUCUUCCUGCUGAUGGGAAAAUUGGCAGGGUUGUUUUUGUUUUGCUUUUGUUUAUUGGAGGAGGAAGAUUCUGUACCAUAACUUCAUAGCACCACCAGCCCGCAGAUAAAUAACUAUUUUCAAAUGUAUUUGUGAGAUAUGCACCUUAAGAGAUUAGAGCAAAAAUACUAAUGUUUAAAAAUAAGCAAGCAAGUGCAUGAAACACCUAACUUCAACGGCUUGGACUAUCAAAUAUUAACACUUAUCAAUCAACAUUUAGUGUCCAUUUUGUACAAAAUACUAGGCCUGGUGCUAUGAGAGACAUAAAGGUGCAUAAGUAGGGACAGGAAAAUGAAAAGAGGCAAAUAUGCUUAGACAAUUGUAUAAGGUAGAAUUAAUUACUUCCAAUAACAAAUCACAGACAAAAUGUAAAGGUGAGUUAAAGGGGGGAGACAGUAUAUCCAGUUAAGGGAAUAUCAAAAUGCAUAAUGAAAAACAUGACAUUUAUAAUGUAUUCCAAAGAUGGGAUGAGGGCAGGUACAUUUAAAGAAAAGAAAGUAACAGGAUAAGCAUUAGAUAUGAAGGUAGAAGAGCAUAGAGUGUAGCUAGAAAAGAGCAAGCUAUAUAAUAUGCAAAUAAUUUUACACACAUUGGAGCAGUGAAAAAAGCUGAAAGUGGGGCAUGUAGAUGUAGUGUACUUAACUGAAUGUCGGAGUGACUUAACUCUAUAAGGUAACGGAGAAUAAAAACCACAAGUAGUUAAUAAGCAAGAGUACAACAUGAAUAGGCUAGUGAGGAUAAACAUUAAUCCGGCAGCAGGAUAGAGGUUGAAUCCUGGGAAAGUGGAAAAAAUGCUACACUGGGUGGCAUGAGAUUUAGUCUCUUGGUCCAGCUUUGCCACACUACCCAUACGUGUGAAAUUAAAUGAAUCAUUUGACCCCUUUUGGUCCCAUUGAGCUCUCUGUAAAGUAAAGAUGGUGAACUUGGCUUCUAAUAAAUAUUUAUUCUAGCUCUCAAAUAGCAUAGGUCUAUAUAUUAUAGUGAUGAAACAUGGGAAAUAUGGAAACUCUUUAGUAUAUAGCAUACGUUUGGCAAAAAAUAAAUGGAAAAAUAAAUUACGAUUGAAGUGUUUACAGAAAAAAUAUUUUAUAUGCAAGGGAAUUUACAAAGGUAGAGUCAAGAAGUCAAAGAAAUUGUAUGAGAAGAUGACUGCAAGUUUCUGAUUUGGGCUUAUUAGGAGAAUACAGAUGACUUUCAGAAGAAGCGUGAACAUCAAGCUGAGGAGCUUUGUUGAAGAGCAGGAUCUUUCUGUCAACAUGGGAUAGUGGAAGAUUAAAGUAGUGAUGACUACAUAUAGAAAUACAAAGUUGACAGUGAGAGACGCCAAGUCUGAUACUGCAAAAGAAAAAUGUAAGAAACUUAGGACUCAACUUUAUCAAUGAGUUCGUUCAACUGUAGAAAUGCACUAGGGACUGAAUGGUGUCCCCCCAAAAUUUAUAUGUCAAAGCUCUAAUCCUCAAUAUGAUGAUCUCCAGAGAUGGAACUUUGGGGAGGUAACUGGGUUUAGAUGAGGUUAUAAGGAUGGAGUCCUCAUGAAGGGAUUAGUGCCCUUAUAAGGAAGGGCCAGAGAGUGCCCACUUGUUCACAUAUGCUCUUGUAUUCUCUCUCUCCUCAACCCCCACCAUAUGAGGACACAACAAGAAGAUGGUUGUCUACAAGCCAGGAAGAGAGCCUUCACAAGGAACCAAAUCAGCGGGCACCCUGAUCAUGAGACUCCCAGCCUCCAGAACUGUGAGAAAUAAAUGUUUGCUGUUGAAGCCAUCCAGUCCACAGUAUUUCGUUACAGCAGCCUGAGCAGAUUAAAAUAAAGAACUGUAACUUGUGAGACAGACAGAAAGAUGUUUCAUAACCAACUCCUUUGGAAAGAAAAAAAGUAGCACAUCAGCAAUUUUCAAGCACAUUAGGAUUUGAACAGCUAAAUGACAGUAUCUCCUGGAGGAAAGGUUUUCUACUCACAGAACCUGAGAUGAGAAUCAUCUGUCCCAGUUUUACAAAUUAAAAAGGAAAAAGAAACUCCAGUGCCUUUUCUGCCAGUAUUUUUCUGAUGUUGAAAUUCUGAUACAAAUAUUCAAGUUCAAUGCAAUCCCAUUAUGAGCAUGUGUAUGUGUAUGAAUGAAUAUGUAUACAUAUAUAUGAUAGACUCCUGACAAUCAAAAUAAUGUUUUACAGGCGAGAAUUCUUUAAAUUAGAAAGCUACUAAAAUGCAUUUAACUUGCUUUGUGAGAAAGCUAACCCUUUGUCUGUAACUCCCAACCCUGGUUGCAAAAUGCAAUGACCUAGGCUGACUUUUUUUUUAAUCCUAUAUCUAGAAGUUUCUCAUUCUGAUUUAAUUGGUCUGGGAUGGGACCCAGACUACACUGGGAUAUUUAAAAAGUUUCUCAGGUGAUUUUAACACGUGCAAAGUUGAGAAAUAAUGCCCUACACCAGUGAUUAGUGGCACAUGGCCUUGAUAGUACAUUACAGUCACCUGGGGGAGCUUUAAAAAAUACCGAUUCCCAGGGCAUACACCUGAUUUAUUAAAUAAUAAGAGGGGAGAACCACAGUCACCAAUAUUUUUAAAACUCCCCAGCAUGAGCUACCUGGGUUGAGAGACACUGCCUGUGCUCUGCCAGUGAUAUAAUGAUUACGAUGUACAUUGGCAUCAAAUGAUUCAUUAUGCCACCUUAUAUCUCAACUCACUGCAGCUGGGACUCAUAUUAGACACCGCGUCUUUGUUUCACAUAUAGAAUUAACAAAAUUAAUUUCAGGUUCUAUCAUACCUUUACUAAGAUGAACAUUGUGUCAGUGAUCAGAGAAUUGCCUCUAGUGUUUCUGACAUAUUUGCUUUCACAAUAUUUUGAGAACUAAUAGACUACUCUGAGCAAAUAUUAACAUCAUUCCAUUAAAUUUCGUCCUGGAAUUGACUGUGGGCAAUUCAUGAUUUCACGAGCAUUGGGGUCUCUAUUCCUUUGCCGGAAAUUUUGAUACCACUGAUAUGUGUUACAUUUUAGGCACAUUUAACUGUGCAGCUGGUGUUGGGUUAGACUAUAACCUUCAUGCUCAUGACUCUUUAAUAUCUGCUAAUUUCAGAAGAUCUUUUGAAUAUCAUAGGGAAGUGUAGGUCCCUUUUACUUAUCACCAUUUUUCUAAAGCUCAUCACGCUCCAACAUUAGAGAAGUUUCAAGGAAGCUUGAAAUUAAUAUUGACACCUUGACAUGACCUGUCCCCAAAGAAGAACUGUCACGUUUGUGAUCAGCAUCUUUCCUCAAAUAGCAAUGGAAGCAUUGGUCUGGAAUUACUGAGUAAUUUGACUUAGUGAUAACUAUGGUAGUCUAUAGAUACUAGAGACUGUUAUGCAUUUAUUACAUGAUCUUUGCUUAGAACCAUUUUUACAUGGUCUUUGUUGGCUCUCUUGUAAAUCUGUUUUGGAGCAGGAUCCUCAGGCAGCUGUAUUUGAAAUGAAGCCUUGUUAGAUGAGAAAUCAAAUUCACAAUCCUUCUGUGGUUUUGGUGCAAGAGCUCCAUCUGGAAAUGGACCAGCCCUUACUGCCUCAGCAUAUGUCCCAGGGACUACAUUUUCCCAAUAAUUGAACACUUUGAUUCCAAAUACAGCACAGUUUUCUCUCUUCAUGCUGUUAUUCACCUAUCUCUGAGCAUGCAAACUUCAGGAAGCCAAAGUGAGUGUAGAAAGAUAUUUAUAAUGAAGAAAUAAAAAAAUCCGCAUCAUAAUUAAGUGAUGCUGAAAUAUUCUUCUAGUUUGUAUUCUGCCUAGGAGUUUAAAGGGUUUUUACUUAGUUCUGACUUUGGUUACCUGUAAACCAACCAAGUUCCCUCCAUUUCCCCACAGAUUGGCAUUUUAGUGUUACAAACCAUUAUUCAUUGGACUUCAUCAAAAGACAAGGGACCUUUUUCAUUACAAAGCUCCUGGGUGGAAUAAAAUGGCUUACAUUUUUGAAGGGAAAAGGGGGACAAGAAAUAAGUAUUUUCAUUCUAGAAAACACACACACACACAGACACAAAUACACACACACACACACACACACGCACGCACCUGUAUAUCCACAAUCCAGAUGGCCAUGGUGCCCUGGAUGGGGAAGAAAUAAUCCACUUACUGCUUCUUUUGCUUUUUAUGUGGACUACCAUGAAUGGCCAAUCCUGACCCUCAGGGACUGCUCUUUAAGUGUUCUUAAAAUUGAAAUAGAAUUGGAAGUGUCAGUUUCUGGAAUAUGUCCAUGGCACCACAGGUGGAAACACAAUGGUUAAACUAGAAUGGACAGGAACUAAGGAGUCAGUCAACUUUGACCUGGAUUGGCAUCCAAUAUGGAGGAUUUCUAUAAUAAUAACAGGACACAGUUCUCUUUAGGCUUCCCUUUAUCCUUAUCUCUGAUAUAUUAGAUUAUUACAUAUUCUCUGUUUUUAACUGAAACAGCCUGCUGCUAAAGCCUUCAGACUACUCUAAUUCUGGAAGCCUAAUUUCAGACUACUCUGCCUCCUCCCAGAGGGAAUGAAAGCCAGGGAGAGAUUCUAAAGCCAUAAUCCUGAAAGCAUAGUUCUGCUUGCAGAUCUAGGGCUUUAAUUUAAAAGAAUGACUCAAAAGGUCAUUUCUAGGCUCAUGCAUCUCAAAAGUCAAUGUUGAUGAAUAUUAUCUCAGACACUUGUAAGAAAUGCAUACUUUCAAGCCCCUUUUUUUCUGAUUUGGAAGUUCUGAGUUCAGGUUUGGGGCCAGGGGAUCUGAUAUUUCACUGCAUAUGAUCCUGAUGUAGUCGUUCUGUGGAAUACACAAUAAGAGUCACUAAACUAAACUACAAGAGACUUGGGAACACAGAAAUAGGAAGUUUCUUAGAUUUUUCUUGAGAUGUGGAUUUUAAGGUAUAUUUGUUAUAUUUUCUCUCAGUUUAUUUUAAAUACCAGGUAACCCUGAGACACUCUGAAGCCUGAAAGUCAUAUAAAGUUACGUCUAAUUUAGUGUGCCUGAGUACAUAAAUUGGUUCAGAUUAGCUAAUGAGGACACAUUCAUUCAUUUGGCAAAUAAUAGUUAAACUUUUUUUUUUUUUUUUU
Molecule: long non-coding RNA, 7458 nt
Organism: Symphalangus syndactylus (siamang)
Lineage: Eukaryota; Metazoa; Chordata; Mammalia; Primates; Hylobatidae
Source: RefSeq, a predicted model, not a curated record